Molecule: ribosomal RNA, 253 nt
Filed under: uncultured bacterium
Lineage: Bacteria
Description: partial 16S ribosomal RNA
Rfam family: Bacterial small subunit ribosomal RNA
Source: RNAcentral
UACGGAGGGGGCGAGCGUUAUUCGGAAUUAUUGGGCGUAAAGGGCGCGUAGGCGGCGCGGUAAGUCAAAGGUGAAAUCCCUCGGCUCAACUGAGGAACUGCCUUUGAUACUGCCGUGCUCGAGGCCGGGAGGGGGUAGCGGAAUUCCCAGUGUAGCGGUGAAAUGCGUAGAUAUUGGGAGGAACACCAGUGGCGAAGGCGGCUACCUGGACCGGUUCUGACGCUGAGGUGCGAAAGCGUGGGGAGCAAACAGG